UAGGGAAUCUUCGGCAAUGGGGGCAACCCUGACCGAGCAACGCCGCGUGAGUGAAGAAGGUUUUCGGAUCGUAAAGCUCUGUUGUAAGAGAAGAACGUGUGUGAGAGUGGAAAGUUCACACAGUGACGGUAACUUACCAGAAAGGGACGGCUAACUACGUGCCAGCAGCCGCGGUAAUACGUAGGUCCCGAGCGUUGUCCGGAUUUAUUGGGCGUAAAGCGAGCGCAGGCGGUUUAAUAAGUCUGAAGUUAAAGGCAGUGGCUUAACCAUUGUUCGCUUUGAAAACUGUUAAACUUGAGUGCAGAAGGGGAGAGUGGAAUUCCAUGUGUAGCGGUGAAAUGCGUAGAUAUAUGGAGGAACACCGGUGGCGAAAGCGGCUCUCUGGUCUGUAACUGACGCUGAGGCUCGAAAGCGUGGGGAGCAAACAGGA
This 430-nucleotide ribosomal RNA is filed under the name bacterium. RNAcentral describes it as "partial 16S ribosomal RNA". It matches the Rfam family "Bacterial small subunit ribosomal RNA", at positions 355 to 777 of the family's 1533-position model. The record is from RNAcentral.